AGUGCAUAACUCCAAACUCCACAUUCAGUGUCAGCUGCUGCUGUCCCAUUUUGGGCAGACACAACAAUUCCUCUCCAGGCCUGGCAGUCAGGGACACCUCACUGCCCCAGGGCCCAGAAAUGGAAACAAAAUUGAGCUGGGGGAGCAAACUGGGGGUAAAUGACUUCAUUAGCUGAAGCUGUAAUUGGAACAUAAACCGUCAAUAUGCAAAUUUACCAAAAUUAUAAAAGUGUGAAAACCCGUGACCUUUGUCCAUUUUUUGGUGCAGCCCCUGAGGGAGCUUUGCCUGCCCAAAACAUACCUGAAGACACUUCACUAAGUAUACCCACUUUUUUUAUUCCCUUAAUUCUGUCUGGCCUCUGUUUUUAAGUAGCCCAAAAAGGCAAAAAAGGUCAAAAUAUUUUGUGGGUCAGACACAGGCCUGCCAGGCCAGGCCCUGGAGUGAGCUGGGCCUGUGUCCAGAGGCUGUGGGGACACAAAUGGAGGUCACAGGGGGACCUGUGAGGCCUUGGAGUGGCUGCCUGGAACAGGGUUAGACAAGAUUAAGAGAAUAAAGUGGGUAUUUAUUAAAGGUUUUCAAUAGGUACAGCUUGGACAGCCAGGAGCCUCCCAGAGGCUGCACCCAAGAUGGACAAUGAUCACAAGUUUAAUAAAGUUAAAAGUUUGGUCCAUUUGCAUUUCAGGGGUUAAUCCUCCAAUUACAGCUUCAGGGUUCAUGGAGUUUAGACCUUCCUUGGGUCUGGUGCUGACCAGCAGAAAAGAGGAAAUUCUCCCUUGUGAUUAAAGCAAACCCCAAACACAAACUUGUGUGUGAGCUUCACUUGACUAUGUGCCCUGUUGGUUCUGCAGGAGCCAUCUCCAGUGCAGAACAAUCUAAUCCUGGGUUUCCUCACAUAUGGAACAGGAAGGAGCAGCACGUCCAAGCUGCUGUGGAGGAUGAACUGAGGGUGACUUGGAAUGGGCGGCUGCUCCACACAAAGCUGGGAGCUGAG
This is a long non-coding RNA of Passer domesticus (house sparrow), 992 nucleotides long. RefSeq lists it as uncharacterized. Lineage: Eukaryota; Metazoa; Chordata; Aves; Passeriformes; Passeridae. The transcript is spliced from 3 exons. The record is from RefSeq and is a predicted model, not a curated record.